AAGUCGUAACAAGGUUUCCGUAGGUGAACCUGCGGAAGGAUCAUUCUAGUGUGUGGGGGGAGAGAUUGUGCCGUGGAGUGUGUGUGCAGUGUGUGUGCAGUGUGUGUGCAUUGUGUGUGCAUUGUGCACGUCUGCGGCCUUUCUAACGCUUGUUUUAUGUGACAGAUUGUGUGUGGUGUAGAUGGAUAAUGAACAACUUUUAACAAUGGAUCUCUUGGCUCUU
Molecule: unclassified non-coding RNA, 223 nt
Filed under: fungal sp.
Lineage: Eukaryota; Fungi
Description: partial internal transcribed spacer region
Rfam family: Eukaryotic small subunit ribosomal RNA (bases 1-46)
Source: RNAcentral